ACGAGGAGUUCUUAUUCGUAUUCAACGAUGACGACGAUGAUUUCUCUUCUCAAAUGACAAUUUCUCAUCUCUGUCAUCGUCUUUCUGCUCACCGUUGCUUUGUUCUUCAAAUUGACCCGAGGAAGGUAGAUGGAAAACUUCAAGCUAUAACUUUCAGACAACGCUCCCUACCCUAUCGAUCGGUAGAGGUCGAAUCAGGAGCGACUGCUGUUCAACCUAUUUUCCAAGAAUUUUCUAUUUUCUGGCUUCAACCUCUUAGACUUGCGAUCUCGUAGCUUCAUCUGAGCACCGUAGUUCACAUGGGUUUUGCUUAGGAUUCUUCGUCUAGUGUUUUGGCUUUAAACAAUGGGUUAUUUUGAUGUUUUGGCCUAAAAAAUCCUUCCACAUUUGUUCUUCAUAUUUUUCUUCAUACCCUAAUCUCCAAUUUCUAUUUAUUACAUUAAUCCCUUUCAUGUUUUAUUCUUAAAAAAUUUAUUGAGGUUUUAUUUUCUUAAUUUAUUUCUCGCAGUUUUAAUCCCUCACAACAAAGGCUUCUCUUUCCAUUGGCAAAUCCUCCAUUUGCUAGAUGAAAUUGAAUUUAGAGAUUUUCAACUAGAGACAUUUGCACAACCUUUCUCUGUCUUUCAUUACACAUCUCUCUCUCACAUCCUACGACUUUUUUCUGUUGUUUUCACUUUCGUAUAUUAUUUUAGAGUGCUUUCUAAUGCACAUAUAAUGUAACUUUUGUAGUCAUUGACACAUUGUACAGUACAAGACUGCCUAUUAUUUAUUUUACCUUCCAGUGAGUAGCUUUUCCUUGCUCCACUUUAAGAAAGCAGUGUGUGUGAAGUGGUUGAAGAAUUAGUAGCUUCUUGGUGGCUUUGCAUUAUCCAUUUUUUUAAAACACAAAGUGUGAAGUUUUAUUCUUAAGAUCAUUUUUCUAAUAAAAUACUCACUAUUGUUUGUGAUAGAUUUGAUUGACGGUGUGCUGUUUUUGUCAUGAUUGCAGGUGGCUUGUGCACUGGUUAUGGCAGGUGACGAUCUUAAGAAACAUCGCAGUUACGGACAUUCUUGUUCAGGAUGGUUAUCCAGAUUGUUUUGGCAAUUCUGAAACCAUAGGAAAGAUCAUUGUUCAAACAGUGAAGCCUUUCCACAUUUUCAGCAAGUUAUUUUCUUUUCAAGUUUGCAUUAGAAAAUGAACUCUCUAGUUUAGCAAGAUAACAUAAGCGUUCAGUAUGGAUUUUAACAGUGAACUUUUGAACAAUGGAUAUUUAUGAGGUUGGAGAAAAUCUUUUUGCUGUGAGUGAUGCCAAGGUGGAUGGUACAAGCUACAACUAAUCCCUCAUGCUACAGUCUGUAUUUUGAAGAUUAAACAUAUUCAAGACAAUAUUUCCUGUCAUAUUUCCAUCCAUAAUCUUGUAGGUUAAAUGAAGUCCAAAAUUUUGUUGUGGCUUAAUGAAAUAGAUGAGCGAUUCCAUGAUAUGAUUUUGCUUGUAUGUUCUAUUAGUUUAGCAUGGUCAAACUUGUGUUGUAGGUACAUU
Cucumis sativus (cucumber) is the source of this 1520-nucleotide long non-coding RNA. RefSeq lists it as uncharacterized. Lineage: Eukaryota; Viridiplantae; Streptophyta; Magnoliopsida; Cucurbitales; Cucurbitaceae. The transcript has 5 exons. The record is from RefSeq and is a predicted model, not a curated record.